GAUUGCAAUUUUGAAAUAAGUAAGUUAUCUGUAUUAGAGUAAUUUUCUAUUGAAUGCUCUCCAUAUGUUAUACUCCAUAUUUUAAUUGAAUUACUAGAAAAUAGUUCAGUUUAUCUUAUUACAUUUUAUAUGUUAAUAUUAUUAAGAAGCUUUUAGACAAAUCAUCCACAGUUUCAAUUUAAAAAAUGGAAAAUGUUGCAAUAUUUGCAGAGAUUGGUGAAGAGGUUGAUGAACAUAACCCUAUAUUUUUAUCAGAAUCUGAAAUUGCAAAUAAUGAUAUGGAAGUCAAAACAGAAUUAAACGAGUUUGUGUCAGGUACAGAAGCUGAUAACCACAACUGUAAUGAAGAAUCUUUGAACUUGGAAGAGAAAGAAGAAAGCAAAAUACCAGGUCUCUUUGCCCCAUUCAAUCAUGGUAUGAAACCUGAUUUUGAAUACAUUCGUUUGGAAUUGGAAAGGUCUGUUUCAAACCAAGAAGCUGCUACGAAAAUUAUAAAUGAUCGCUAUAAAUUAAUUACAGAGAAUGCUGCAAAGCAUAAAAUGAAAGAAGAAAAGGACAAAAUGACUUUCACCCAGUUAUCCCAUUCUGUGGAUAUUGAAGAUAUUAUAAAAACUACUGAAUUACUUUGUAAUUUACAUAUUACUUCUACCUCCCCUUCUAAAGACCAGUUAGAAGUUUCUGACAGCUAUCUAGAGAAUAUUUACUGGAAUGAUAAUUUAUAUGAAUUUAUUAAUUUGAAUGAUAUUGAAAUUGAUACAAAGGCAAAAAUCUCAAAUGUUGACAUGCAAAAUUCUGUAACUGACCAUCUUGAAUAUGGAGUGGAAGACUUCAUAAGCCAUGAGAGGAAUGAACAGAUGGAUGGAGAAAAAAGUUUCACCUUCACCCAAAUGUCUCAAGAGCUGGAUACUGCAAAAUUUAUGAAAAAUAUCGAAUCAGCUUUUGAAAAGCUUGAGGACGAUGACUCUUCUUGCGAAGAUGAAUGUAUUGAAUUCCAUUGUGGAAUUAAUAAAGGAGAUGAUGGUUUUGACUGCAGACGUCAAUAGGAUUGAAAUUUUGCGUAUAUGCAACUGUACAUAUAUAGCAAACACAAUUAACAUUUACAUUUUUUAAGGACUUUUUUUAAGUCUUUUUAAAAUUUAACUAAAAUUUUAUGUAUUUUAUGUCAAGUUUUGAUUAUGGGUUCUUUUACAGUAAGAAAAAAAUAUUACAUUUUGUAUUAAGGCUAAUAAUGUAAAAUUCAAUGCUGUAUAUUAAUUGAAUAAUCAAGAGUCAUGCAUAUUAUUGAUGUUCUGAUUGAAACAUCUGGCUAAAUAUUCUUUUCAGUCAUGUCCGUUUUGUCCACACCAAUGUGCAUCAGGGCAACUAAAAAGGCAUUUGCGUAAACACACUGGAGAGAGACCUUUUGUAUGCAAGAUAUGCAAGAAAAGUUAUACUCGGAAACAUAAUUUGCAGUAUCAUUUGCUGAUACAUCAGAGUUCAUCUUCUAGUGUUCCAAAACGCAAAAAUUGAAUGUUAACAUUCAUCAUUUAUGAUAAUAUAAUAAUUAUAAUAGAAUAUAUACUUUUAAUUAUAUACUUUUUAAAUUAACAAAUACCACACAGAAUUUUUAUUGAAAUUCUAGCAUAGCCUAGUUAUUACAAAAUGAAAUGUUAGUUGAAAAUAUGAUGUUUGUUAUUUUUGUAUAAAGUAUUCAUUUUAUUUAUUCAAACGCGAGAGAGCCGUUUGUUGUUUUCUAGAGAUAUUCAGACGUUGACACCAACCAAAGUACCAAGGGUGAGCAGGUAGGACUCUCCAAAGUGCACUCAACUCCAUCUUUUUGAUAGAGAAGAUUUCAGAAUAAGUUAGUGUUACAUCUCUAUGAAAUAUGUCAGCUGAGGCAGUCUUAGCUAAGUUAUCCACUAUCUCAUUACCAUUUAAACCAACAUGUGAGGGGACCCAUUGAAAGUGUAUAGAGUGUUCUGCGGAGAGCCUGGCAAUAAGGUCUAAGAUAUUCAUGCUAAUCUUGUCCCCCACUUUCAUCCAAUGAGAAAGGUGCUGUAUAGAGGCAUGAAUGUCCUUAAAAUCCAAAUGUCCCCGAAGACAAUUUCAGAGGACGUGUCGAUAUAUUGAAGUCCCUUAUAGAUAGCAAUAAGUUCGGACCUGAAUACAAAACAGUUGAUAGGAUUUCUAAUCAAAAUAUCAGUAGCUCCUUCAGGAGUCUCAAUGUGCAUGCCACUACCAGAAAAACCACCAUCUCCUUUACUGCCAUCAGUGUACAUUUUCAGAGCUGAAGAUGGAAUGCUCUGAAUUGUUUCCAGUGACAUUUGUCUAGUAAAUUCAGGUAACUCUUAAUUUUUGCUAUUCUUGGCCAAGAGAUCAGUAUGGAAAUGAAUUCAUUUAGGGUCAAACUUAAAAUUCCAAUAAGGCUUUAAGGAAUGUGGUUCCACAUCUCCAGAAGGUAGACUUAUCUCUUUUGUGAAGGAAAAAGAACUGUGUUUCUUUAAACAUUUAUUAUUAUGCCAUGAAUGAAGAUAAGCAGAAGUUCUGUGCUGAUCAUUGUAGCUAAAGAGCUUGUUGUAAUAUUUAUAAAAUGGUGUAAUGGACAGAUAAAAUCAUUGUAAUAUUUAUAAAAUAAUGUAAUGGUGCAAGUACAGAUUAAACAUGUAAAUUAAAUAUAUUGGCUAUGAUGGUCUUAUUAAGACCAUUAAACUGCUAAGCAUUAAUGGUCUUAAUAAGUUUUAUAUAGAAGCACAAUGUAGAAACAUGGAUAUACAUGUACUAUACUUGAAACAACCUUAUUGUUAGGGUAGUCAAAUUUGUGACAUAUGUCCAUGACUUUCUUACCAAUUUGAACUAAUCCAAGAAUUUGUAUGUUUAGAAUAUCAUAACUUAUGGGUAGAAUGCUCAGUAUUCCUAUAAUUUUAGUAUGUUUUUGCUGCAUUUUUUUGUGUUUCAUAUAUCUGUCUGCUUUUU
This is an RNA transcript of Argiope bruennichi, 2952 nucleotides long. RefSeq lists it as uncharacterized. The transcript is spliced from 4 exons. NCBI's taxonomy places the organism in Eukaryota, Metazoa, Arthropoda, Arachnida, Araneae, Araneidae. The record is from RefSeq and is a predicted model, not a curated record.